UCCUCGGGCAGGGUGUGACACAGGUUUCUUCUUGUCUUGAGGAUGAGUGAAGAAGCCCACAGCCACAUGGGUAUUUUCGCAGCUUCCCAUGGGGGAAAGGCUGACCCUGGAUAGAAUGGCAGGAGAAUUUAAUUUUAGGAUUUGGGAAGAAGGAAUUAUUGUUAAGUAUCUCAGAAGAAUCAAGAUUUGGGAGCAGGAAGUGAAGACUUAUCCAAAUUAAAGAUUGUGCUAAUUUAUUACAACCAUGUAUACUGAAAACAAGCAUGUUGGGGAAGAUUAACGAGCAAGAAUUGAAAUCAUUCACGAAGAGAAGCUUUGGACUAAAACCCAUCUGCCAGAUAAGCCAAUAAAUGUCCCUCUCAUCAAGUGAUUGGGACUGGGAUGGAGCUGGAAUUUGGCCCUAAUGUUGCAUGUGUAAAGAAGAUGGAGAUAUGUCAAGAAGACACAGGAUUCUUCUUGAAAGGAUUCCCACUGGGAAAACUGGGAUAAUUUAAACAUCAAAAUGACAAAUGACAGAAGUGGUUAUAACAUAUUAGAGGGAACAAAUAUAUUUUCUGAUAUUUUGAAAAAUCAAGGUGGGAAGAAGAAUGGAACACUCCUCUUUA
This 605-nucleotide long non-coding RNA is filed under the name Homo sapiens (human). RNAcentral describes it as "HSALNT0327128". The record is from RNAcentral. Lineage: Eukaryota; Metazoa; Chordata; Mammalia; Primates; Hominidae.